This is an RNA transcript of Callithrix jacchus (white-tufted-ear marmoset), 12506 nucleotides long. It is a transcript of the gene named borealin pseudogene, with no coding region annotated. The record is from RefSeq and is a predicted model, not a curated record. Lineage: Eukaryota; Metazoa; Chordata; Mammalia; Primates; Cebidae.
AUGUCUUCUUCACACCGAUUUUUACCUGAUGGCUGUCCAAUUGGAUAUAUUCUUUCCUCUUUGCCUACUGCCAAGAACCUCCUCAAGGAGGUGGAUAACCUCUACAACAUCAAGAUGCUGUGACUUCCCAAGGCGCUGCAUGAGAUGAGCUGGCUCAACUACUUUGCCCUUGGAGGAAACAAGCAGGCCCUGGAAGAGGCAGCAACAGCUGAUCUGGAUAUCACCGAAACAAACAAACUAACAGCAGAAGCUAUUCAGACAUCCCUGAAAUCGGCCAAAACAUGAAAGGUAAUACAACUAGACAAAAUGAUAGUAGAAAAGAAGAAGAAACAAAUAAACAUAAGAAUCUUCAAACUGCAAGAGUCAAAAGGUGUCCUCCAUCCAAGAAGAGAACUCAGUCAGUACAAGGAAAAGGCAAAAGGAAAAGGUCAAGCUGUGCUAACACUGUUACCCCAGCGUGGGCUGAUUGAAGGCGUCCAUGGUGAAACCAACUCCAGGCCUGACACCCAGGUUUGACUCGAGGGUCUUCAAGACCCCGGCCUGCACACUCCGGCAGCAGGAGAGCGGAUUUCCUACAUCUCAGGGAAUGGCAGCCCUCUUGCAGGCAGCAAUGAGAUCUUCCUCACUGUGCUAGUGGGCGGCAGAGAGAGCCUGCGAUUAUUGGCCAGUGACUUGCAGGGGCACAGUAUGGCUCAGCUGGAUCCAGAGGCCCUGAGAAACACUAAGAAGCUCUCCAACCAUCUCACCCAAAUCUGCAGCAGCAUACGGACCCACAAAUGGAAGCCGAAGUUGACAGGAUGGACUUUUAAUGGGCACCUCUGGGACCCUGAAGAGACUUCUUCCCUUCAGGCUUAUUGUUUGAGUGUGAAGUUCUAGAGCAAGGGCCCAUGUUGCUCUGGGGAAAUUCAGGAAUUCAGUCAUGAUCUUCCAACACCAGUUAGGUAGAGCUGUGCUGUUCAGCCCCCCAUUUCAGCCUACCCCAGCCAUUGCUUGCUGGCUCCAUACCAUGGAAGCUUCUGGUCAGUCUCCCAGCUGAAUCCUCCCUGCCCUCUGAGCUGCUCCUUCUGCCUCCUGUAACUCGGCAUCCUCUUCACCCUGCCCUCCCUCCAGUUGUGGAGGCACAGAAGAACCCUGUGUUCUCAGGAAGACUGCCUUUACCACCUCUACCCAGAGAACCUCUGCAUCUGGCAUCUCUGCUCUCUAUGCUUGAGACUGGGAUGUUUAGGCUCAGUUAAAUGAGCUCUGGGCCAUGAGAGGGCAGGUACAGAAAGGUGGGGGAGCUGUACAGAUCAGCAGAACAGGACAUUUGGCAGCAGUGACCUCAGCAGGGAACAUGCCCGUCUCCCCUCCUGCACUCAUCACACCUCCCCCUCCCAGCCCUCCUCUUCCUCCUCCUCAUCUUCCUCCUAUGGGAGGUGCUAAAUGGGACUUUGGGGUCUUUCACCUGCUGUGCCCAGUAGUUCUUUGGAAACCUGCUUGUGGAACAGUGUUUUAUGUUUAUCCCUGUUUACUGGAGACCAAAUACUGGUUUGGAGACAACUUCCAUGUCUUGCUCUUCAACCUGCCCAGUUAGUGGGAAUUUGGAUAAGGUAAUUGUAGGGCUUAGAUUCUGGGGGUUAUAUGUGAUUGUCCACAGAAUAACUGUCUCUAAGCUGUCCGUGGUCCAGUGGUCAGCUUGGAAACAGUUAUUCUAUGGUCACUUCAGUCACUUCAGAGAGCACUUCUCUCUUAUGGAGCUCAUGGGCGCAGGGGCGGGUGUGACUUGGUUGGUGGUCUCAUUCCAUGUGUGCCUGUGGCUGGGGCAUGGGCUUUGUUAAACGGAGUCAGAAGUGAGGUCCUCAUGCUCCAGCCAGCCUCUCUGCCCUGGAGAAUCAUGCACUGUGUUCUAAGAAUUUGAGAACUAGAGUCCUCACCCCCAGGCUUAAGGACACACGGCUUUCUCAUGUAGGGAUCUUUGUGGUAGUUACUAUUUUGCAAGAAGACCAUUUUGGUGAAGUCCUGUUCAAGUUGUAUUCUUUUAAGUUCUUUUAUUCUCCUUUCCGUGAGAUUUUUGUAUGUAUAGUUCUUCUGAGUAAUGGUAUCUCUAAACUGAUUGUUCUAGUCAGAGCUGGUACCUGCUUUCAAUAAAUUCUGGUUUUGUGAAAAAAAAUUAUUGGCAAAUGAUUGUGGCAAGAAUGUGAAGCCAGAAAAUUCAGAAAAGUGAUAUGGUAUGUUAUUGAUGCAGUUCAUUUAAUUAAAACAAGACUUCCUUGAAAAUUGUAAAAGACCUUUACUAUUUACAAACUAAUAGUUUGUAAUCAUGCUCAGAAUUUUAAUGAAAAUUUGUUGUACUCAGAUAUUUGUUGUUUGUCUUCUGGAACUCGUGGUGCUAAAUUCAAAGAUAAGUCACACUUUUUUUUUUUUUAAACAACAGCAACAAACAAGUAUUCCAAAUUUGCUGACAUUUUCUGGGUGGACAGUAGGUUCUCAGUCAUAUGCUACUUAGCUUAACAUUUUACAACAUAGAUACUUUAUCCUUUUAUAGCAAAAAUACUAUUUGAUUGAUAUUUGACAAAGACCUCCUUUUGAUAUGUAACUUGUACAAAGUAAAUAUAAUUUUUAAAUGAGUAUUUAGAAACAUUUCAUCAAUUAUUUGAGUAUUUGAUUUUGUAAUUAAAAUCAAGGCCCAUUUGUCAAUACACCAUUUUCCCAAUCUUCAUGUUUCAAAUAUGUGGAAGCAAACUUUUUUUUUUUUUUUGAGACGGAGUUUCGCUCUUGUUACCCAGGCUGGAGUGCAAUGGCGUGAUCUCGGCUCACCGCAACCUCCGCCUCCUGGUUUCAGGCAAUUCUCCUGCCUCAGCCUCCUGAGUAGCUGGGAUUACAGGCACACGCCACCAUGCCCAGCUAAUUUUUUGUAUUUUUAGUAGAGACGGGGUUUUACCAUGUUGACCAGGAUGGUCUCAAUCUCUUGACCCUGUGAUCCACCUGCCUUGGCCUCCCGAAGUGCUGGGAUUACAGGCUUGAGCCACCGUGCCCAGCCAGAAGCAAACUUUUAAUAAUUAUUUUAGAAGCAAAAUUUCUAGGUCUUCCAAAAAAGUGUUUUGGUGAAUUUUAAACUGUUGAACAUAGCAAAUGUAAGACAAUUAAAUUAGUUUGAAAAAAAUGACAUUAAAGAACAUGGAAAUCAGCCAGCCACAUUUCAACAAAAGCUUUUGUAUCAUAGUAUGGAUAUUUACUCAUUAUAGUUAACAAAUUAAUUCUUUCAUUUGAAUUAAUAUUUUACAAGGCAGCUGUGUCAAUUACAUCACACAAGUUGUUUGUUUCCUAUGCAUGUAAAAGUGGUGUUUAGAUUAGACUGUAGUCCAUUAUGUGUGCAGUGGCAUGAUGUCUAAUAACGUGUGUAUGUACCUUAAUUUAAAAAAUAAUUGUCAGAAAUUGCUGACGAUCAUCGGAGCCUUCAGCAAGUUGUAAUCUUUUUGCCGGUAGUGGGUCUUGCCUCAAUGUUGAUAGCUAUUGACUGAUCAGAGUGGUGGUUGAUACAAAUUGAGGUUGCUGUAACAAUUUAUUUAUUUAUGUAUUUAUUUAUUUAUUUUUUGAGACGGAGUUUUGCUCUUGUUACCCAAGCUAGAGUGCAAUGGCGCGAUCUUGGCUCACCGCAACCUCCGCCCCCUGGGUUCAGGCAAUUCUCCUGCCUCAGCCUCCUGAGUAGCUGGGAUUACAGGCACGCGCCACCAUGCCCAGCUAAUUUUUUGUAAUUUUAGUAGAAACGAGGUUUCACCAUGUUGACCAGAAUGGUCUCGAUCUCUUGACCUCGUGAUCCACCCGCCUCGGCCUCCCAAAGUGCUGGGAUUACAGGCUUGAGCCACCGCAUCCGGCUCACAAUUUAUUAAAAGGAGGCAGUGAUACAGUUUGCCACAUCAAUUGAUGCUUUCUUUCAUGAAAGAUUUCUCUGUAGCAUGACCAUCAUUAAUGGUCACUUCAUUUUAAAAUGUGAAGGUUUGCAAGCUAAAUACAAGGUCCAGAAGCAAAUCUAGGCAAGAAUUAAUUUUAACACAAGAUUUGGAGAUGCAUAGGGAUGAGUAACAAUUGAAAACCUCUUAAGGUCUUCUUGAUUUAAAUUAAUGGGUUUCUCAGUAUUUUGAAAAAUAAAGAAAGGUUGAGUGGGUCUUACCAAGAAAAACAAGAUCUUGCAUUCAAUUUUGUGUCAUCUUAAAUUCAAAUGAUUAUUAAAGCAGUUAUGACUGAAAGGCCGUAGCAUCGCAUGAAGCAGUUAUGACCAAGAGGCCGUAGCAUCGCAUGAAGCAGUUAUGACCGAAAGGCCGUAGCAAUGCAUGACACAUUACUGUGAUUGAUUCUGCACAGUCUCAGUGGCCCUUACAUUGAUUUUCCUCAAUCAUCUCAUAACGGAUGAUUUCUGUUCGGCCCACUACUUGCUUAUUAUUUAUGAAUUUCUGCUUUUAUUGCUACCAUCAUUUGUUUAAUGGAAUCUACACAGUGGAAAGAUUUUGCUCUGUUUAUCAUAGUACUCUGAAUUGUAAAUAAUGGAUUCAGAGAAGAAAAAUGUCACAUGUUUCAAGUGAGCAUAUGAACUGCCUCAUUUGAAGAUACCAUCUAAUACGGUGAAGAAACUGGGAGAUUCAAAAUGAAUCAGAAGUAGAUUUGUGUGUGUGUGUGUGUGUGUGUGUGUGUGUGUGUGAGAGAGAGAGAGAGAGAGAGAGACAAUAAUCAGAAAAGCUUAGAAGAUACUAUGGAUGACAGUAAUGAGUGAGAAGAGGAAACUGGCAUAAAUAUAAGGGGAGAAAUUUAAAUGUUUCUAAUAUAUCUACAUGGUUGAAAUCCUAACAGAUAAUCCACCUUGAAUAUUAAUAUUUAAUUGCUCUAAAGGGACUACUGCAAAAGAUAAGGGCAGUUUCUCUCAGGGCAGACAGUCGUUUGAUGCAGUCUUCUCUCUUCUCUCAAAAUAACUAGCAAAGGAAAAGUGGAGGGAGCUCACUUCUGGCACUAGCUGAUGGUGAUCUUACCCAUGAGAGCCAGUCCUGCCAGAAAUGUACUCCGAUCCCAGCAUUGACAGCUUUGUACUCCUCUGUAUUUCAACUCUUCCUUACCAAUCUGUUUCUUAGUCACUGUGUUUACUGUUCUUUCCAGUGCGAAUCACUGAAAGUCUCUUUACUACCUUCAUGCUCUGUCAGUUAUCAUUGCAACUUCUGUAAUAGAAUCUACAACUUCUCGGUGUUCACUACCCCUUGAUUACAUAAACAUGCUCAAGUUUAUGUCAUCGAGUUAUGUAAUCUCCUGUCUUAAAUGUUACUGCAGAAAACAGAAAACCUUCCUUGACUUCAUGCUCCCCAUUUUAUAAUAGUCAUUCAUUUGUUCCUUUAUUCAACAAACUUUGUUUUGCAAACCUAUUGUGGUCCAGGCAUUGUUCCACAGUAUGGAAUUAUAGACUCACAGAACAAUCAACAUGCAGAUAUGCAAGGAAAUGGAAGGUAAUUAAGAAUGAUAAGAAAAAUAAAAGAUAAUACAUGUUAACAGGCCAAUUGGGUUAUCGGUGAAUGAGAUAUAUGCUAAGAAAAUAGUGCUGUCAUAAUCUAGGGUCAGAGUGUUCCUGGCACUCACUAGCUCCAUAGAUAGUGUCAUGACCCUCAAAUCCAAAAGGAGUUUUGACAUGUUUGAAAAACAGAAAUAAGUCCACUGUGGGUGAAAGAAGUUUGUAAUGGGGGACAUGAGACAUGUCAGAGGACAGCAGGAGCCAGAUCACACGGGACCUUGUAAAGUAGGAUCCUGUGGGGUAUGGAGUGUUGCUUUUAUUUAAAGUAUAAAUGGGAAGACAUAGGAGGAUUUUAAAGAGGAAAGUGUCAGAUGACCUAAUGAGGCCUUGUAGCCAUUACUUUGGAUGUUUUGGGGGGAUGGAGACAAAGGAAAGCAUAGAAACAGGAAAACCAAGUAGAAGACCUCAGAGGUUUUAGGAGACUAGAGAUAAAAUUGCUGUGUUUCUAUUAUUAAAGUAAAUGUAGACAAGUGUAAGGUUUCAAAUGUGUUUUUGAUUUAAAAUUACCAUUUUGAAGAGGUAGGUACUAAAUAUAAUGGAAAUCUAAAGUAACUCUUAAGUAACUGGGUACAUAUUAAUAACUAUGCUUGUGACUGAGAUGCCAAAGUAUGGGUGAGGAACUAAUGUAAGGAAGGAUCAAGAGAUGUGUUCACGCUUGUUAAAUGUAAGGCAAUUCGUUAUAGAAUCCUGGAAUUUGAGGAAAUACUCAAGUCUGGACUUAGAAAUUCAGAGUAAAUAUUUAAACUGAAAGAUCCCAAAAUAUAUGAGAAUCUGUAGAAAAAAAAGAAAACCAUCAACAGGGAAAGAGAUCCCAAAGCAGAGCUCUGGGACCUAUCACAUUUAUACGACUUAUCGCAUUUAUAGAGGAGGAAAGGAAAGCAGUGUGAGAAAAAUGGAGACGUGGUAUCAUAGAAGAGGAGAGGAUGUUUAAUAGGCAAAACUGUCAAUCAAGUUGGAUCCUGCGGAGAGGACGAGUAAAAUGGGGUGUAACGUGUGGCUAAUGUAUUUGGAAAAUUGAAAGUCGCUGGUGUCUUUGAGAAGAGUAAAAUCAUUCCAGUAAUGGAUAGGUUAUGUCAGGUGGAGUGAGUACAAGAAAACUGGGAAGGAAGAAGGAGGUGGAGAUGAUGAUUACAGCUCUUUUAUUAAAUUUUGCUGCAAAGGAAACAGCUUAGUUUAUAAAGCUGCUAUCUCGAUAUCAUUAUUGUCAAUAGAACUUAGUGCAGUCACUUCUACGAAGACACUUUUGAAUGGCCUCUAAAUGCAUUACUUUCAUGAGCUUAAAUACUAAAGUUUUUAAAAUUUUGAUUUAUGAGGUUUAGUUUAGUUUCUAUAACAUAGAGAAAAUUCUUAAUUUCAAGCUACAAGUAGAUAAGAAAAAUAUUGGUUAAAGAAAAUAUUUAAGGGUGAUUUAAUUGUGAUAUAAAAGUGAUUUUACCCUGAAUUUAGGGAAAAUGGUUAAACUAUCAUUAGGUGGUUAACCACUGCUAUUUCAAAAUGUUGAUUCAAUAAUAAUUUUAAGUAUAAAAACUGAAUCUGUAUUCAUUGUCACUGUAAUGUGAAACUCAGAAAAAAUGAGUUAAUUUGAAGUAUCUUUUUAUCCCAAAAAUGUUACCUCUAGAGAAUUGAAACCUAAAGUGAUAUCCAAUGAAGGCUGUCUCUGUGCUCAGUGGUGCCAAUUUUGAGCUUCUGCAAAAACUAUAAAAUAUUGUACAUUUUAGUAUGGAAAUGCUGUACAAACCUGCCACCUGCUACUCCUUUUACUGAUUUUCUUAAUUUUUCCAAGAAUUAUUAACAUUUGGCUGCAUUUUUAUAAACUUUCAAAGGUUUGUAAAACUUUUAGCCAUGCAGGUCCUUUUGACUAAUGUAAGUCAUUGCCAAUUGGAAUAAAAAUUGGCUUAGCUUAUAGAGUUCUUUUAUCAAAGGAGCCAUGUAGAACCCUAUGAUAAGUCAAUUUUUAUGAUGGUCCUUCUAGAAUUUUAACUACAGAGUUUUCUUUCUUUAUUAUGGGAUACAAUUUACAUUGAUGUCUAGUAUCUCUGUCUCUAAAUGAUAAGGUAUGUAUUAGAAUUAAGCAUUUCAGGACCUAUCAAAAUUUAAAUGAUUUAUAUAAAUACUGUUUUUCUUGAUGAAGUGAUACAUUAAAAUCUUAACCCACCGUCUUUAAUAAAUGCUUAAUAGAUGUUCUAAGGAAAGGAACUUUUGGACUGCAACAUGAAUUUUAAAUUUAAUUUAAUAAGGUAAAUAUAUGUAGUAAGUGUUCUUUAAGCAGAAGCAGUUUAAAAAUUGAGUUCUUUUUUAGUAGUGCCUUAAAUAUGUCACUAAAAUAAUUCUUUCUUAAUAGGGUACCCAUAUUUUAUAAAAUAGGGUUAGAUUAUUUUCUUGAAAGAAAUAGGCACUUUUUAAUGAUCAUAAAGCUUACCACUCAUGCUUUUUGCAUGAUAAGAACUGUGAAAACCUAAUGAAGUAAAUUGUAGUUUAAGUGCGAUGUACCGAAUUAUUACUGCAUCACUGUCAACCCAUUUUACAUUGGAAAAGAAGAUGCUAAUUAUGCUCUGCCAAUUAUAUGUACAUGCCUUCUUUAAGAUAGAACAUUUAAGAAUGAGUCUUGCUUUUUAGAAUACUUCAUAAAAAGCAAGAGUGCAAAAUAAUGGGUUGUUAAUUGAAAAGAUAUAAUGCAGAUUGAGAUAUUUUAACAAACAGUUAAAAUUUGGCCUUCCUGCCCAAUAUGUUAAAAUUUUCAGUGCAAGGGGUCUCAAAUCGAUAAUUUAUAUGGAUUCAAUAUGACAAUUAGGAUGAGUCUUAAAGACAUUGAAUCUAUGAAAAUAAAACCAUUCACCUUAAGAUUUAUUGAAGAUUUUAUUUUGUUUGUUCAAAGUAAACAAAUGAACUCUAAUACCAUACACAAAAUAAUAGAUAUUAUGGAAUAUUAUUUAGGGUCUUAAACAUACUAUUUUUACAUAUCAAAUCUCAAAUAACUGAAGAAUUAAUGAUUCAGUCAGCAACCAACAUAAUGAAAUAAGCUACAAAGACACCUUAAAGAAUAGUAACUGUCUCUAGGUGGCACAAUAUAAUAUAGGAAUGUAACCAGCUGGCAAGUAACCUGCUGUUUAGCUGCUCUGCCCACUCCAGCCUCCAGAAUUCUGAUCACAGUUCUCAGCUGAUUUAACUAAUUUAAAUAUUAUUCCUAAGCUAUAUAAGAAAACACAUUAACUUAGAAUUUUACAAGGACAACAAAAAGAAUUGUUAAGAAACAUUAUGAUCACACCGUAGAACUAGUCAUAUUAAGCAUUAAAAUCUACAAGGCAUUAUAAAUAUGGCUGGGCAUGGUGGCUCUCACCUGUAAUCACAGCACUUUGGGAGGCCAAGGCAGGAGGAUCACUUGAGCUCAUGAGUUCAAGAUCAACCUGGGCAACAUGGCAGAACCCCGUCUUUACUGUAAAUUGAAAAAUUCAGGCUGUGUGCGGUGACUCACGCCUGUAAUCCCAGCACUUUGGGAGGCCAAGGCGGGUGGAUCAAGAGGUCAAGAGAUCAAGACCAUCCUGGUCAACGUGGUGAAACCCCGUCUCUACUAAAAAUACAAAAAAUUAGCUGGGCAUGGUGACGCGUGCCUGUAAUCCCAGCUACUCAGGAGGCUGAGGCAGGAGAAUUGCCUGAACCCAGGAGGCGGAGGUUGCGGUGAGCCGAGAUCGCACCAUCACACUCCAGCCUGGGUAACAAGAGUGAAACUCCGUCUCAAAAAAAAAAAAAAAAAUUUAGCCCGGCAUGGUGGUGUCCACCUGUAAUUCCAGCUACUCUGAGGUCUGAGGUGGGAGGAUCACUUGAGUCCAGGAGAUGGUUACCGUGAGCACUCAUUGUGCCACUGCACUCUAGCCUGGGUGGCAGAGCAAGACCCUAUCUAAAAAACAAAAACAAAAAAGAACAAAACAAUAAUAUGCAGCAUUGUCCUAAGCAUCAUAUCAAAUUUUUCAUUACUAGAGAAUGCAUAGAACACUUACACAUUUUAGACAGGAGGUGAGUUAUUAUAUAAUAAAACACAAUGAAAUUUUAGGAGCUUCCAUGUUAAAAAGUGGUACUAUUUUGCUCACGCAUUAAUUCAAUUUAGGGCAUUUGGAUUAGGGUCAAGGUGGAGGGGAUGGUUUUGCUUGCUCUAUGUAUUCACAGACACAUCUAGUGUCACUGCCAUUCACCCAGUAAUACCUGAGAGUUCCCCACUGUAUUUUGUGAAUUCAGCCAGUGGAGUAAGAAAACUAGAAAACAUGAAGAAUGGCAUUGAAGUUUUUUUGUUUUGUUUUGUUUUUAUUUUUCCAGCUCAGAAAGUAGAAUACAUACAUCCAGCUAAUUAUAUUGGUUAGAACUCCCUCCUGUGGCCUCAAACAAGUAUAGAGGAGCCUGGGAAAUGCAGUCUAGUUGUGUACCAGAGGAAAAGGGCUUGAUAAGCCCACGGCAUUAUCUCUAACAGUCAAAGUUUCUAGUUUAAGUAAUGUAUUUGGGUUGAGUUCUUUAUUUUUCCUAUGUCAACACCAUUUUCACACCCUCAUGUGUGAAUAAAUGCCUUCCACCAUAUUUUCUUAAGAUCUCACACAUCUGCAUAUUUCUGUAUGUCUCUCGUAUUGCUACCUUAUUUCAGAGUCUUACCCUUUCUAAUUGAGAUUGAUAAAUCAUCAUAUAAAAGAUGAUCUUCCCCUGAAUGUUUUCCAUAUAGAUUCCCAAGUGAUCUUUUAAAAAGCACGCAUGAUCCUGUCACUUUCUGCUUACAUCCUUCAACGGUUAUCUUCCUCUAUAGCGAGAGCCCAAAUACCAAGCAGGUAAUAUAAAGACCUAAAUCCUUAGCACAAUAUGGCAGAAAUGGAAGUUUCUAAUAUCAAGGCUUUCAUUCUGGUUGUAGAAUCUUUCUUGUUGUACCACAUCUUAGAUGUUGAAACUUGGCAGAUUUUUCCUGAAGCCAAAGCCUAUAUUCUUUUCCUACUGUGACAGGUGAUAAGUUCCCGUGAGCCAUCCAUAAUCUCACGGAUCUCAAGGAAUCAUACCCAUGUGAUAAAAGAUUAAUAUUUAGUAAGAACAUUGUUACAAUGGAGAACUGGGCUACCUAAAACUAAAUAAUGCAUGCUUUGAUAUUGAAUAAAUCACUAGGUUUAAGAUAUAUUACCUUUACUGCAUUGCUACAAUGAAUAUAUACAUUUAAAAUAUAAAUAGAGAUAUAAAAAUGUUUGUUUCAUUGUAUACAAUCCAGUAAAAAUAAUACACUAAAUAUAUACACAUAUGUGUGUAUAUAUUCAUAAAAAGAGAUAUAUAUUUAUAAAGAUACAUAUGUAUAUAUGCAUCUUUUUAUAUAUAAAGAUACAUACAGUGUAUGUCUGUAUAAUAAUUACAGACACAAGACUAGACCUUGUGAUCACCUUCUUCAGAUCUUGCCAGAAAUGAGUGCCCCAUACCACAAGCUCUGCCUUGCUUCCAUUGAAGAACCAUUCCUCAAGCUCUUCUGCUCCUAUUCCAGGUAAUGCUAGAAUUCAUUGCCUCGUUUGACAAGGAAGACUGUCAUUCUGUGAGUACUGAUGUCCACUCACAGUGAUCAGGGCAGGUGUCGCCUCCCUGGCAUCCUGAGGGAAGGAUGCACUGCCACUUUUAUAUUAUGUUUUGUCAUGAAUUAUGUUGUCCUAAGGGUAGGAAUGAUAUGGUUAUCAUUUCACACAGUCCAACUGAGAUCUGCUUGACAUUUUUCAUUUUAAAGUAAUCAGAUUUGGACAUUGGAUAGUAUAGUGUCAUUAAGUUACCUGAUAACUCUUGUACCUCCCCAGAUGCACUUUAGAUAAUUUUAUACGGUUGCUUCUUUUUCUCACCCUGAGGCUGCCUCUAAUUAAAGGCAGGUGGCUCAUCCCCUAUAUCCAUAUAUCCAGCCUGCAAAUAAAAAUGUAUCACUGACUUCUGAAGCAAAGAGGAAGUUUCUAUUAUCCAAUUUCCUAAGUCCUCAUUUUAUUUCUCAGAAGUAACACAAAUGACCCUUUCUUUUGGGGAAACCCAGUCCACAGGCUGUAGUUUAGCUCUUUGACCUCAGUAAGACAACCAUACACAUAACUCCAACAUUCAUUCAUUAAUUCAAUAUAUAUAGUAUACCAACCAUGAAAUAGACAUUGAUGAUUAUUACAGUCAUGAAAACAAACUGUCACUUAUUUUCUAAGAGGAGUAGAUGAUCGUAAAUAAAAAUAUUUCGUGUAAUAGAUUUGGAUGAAAGACAAAAGAUGAUGCAAGUGGCUUCUAAUUUAUGGAACAGUCAAAAUAGUGUAAUAACCAAAUGCAGGUUACUCAAUCCCAAAGAAAUAGAAAACGCCGUAUGUGACACCAAAUAGGAUUGCUGCAAGCUGGAACCAAUUCUUUUCAUCACUUACCAGAGGAUCCCCAAGAAGACUUCAGUCUAAUCCCUUUCCUCUUCAUUCUAUAAUCUCUAAAUCUGGCUUAUUCAGGGAUUUGUAAAAUUACGGUUAUACAGCAUGAACUACAUGAAGAUUCAGUUAUCUUCACUGGGGUUUCAGAUCCAAAUUUCUCCAUUGCUUAUUUAUAUUUUCAAGAGUGAUUAUUUAAUAUUCUUGUUUCACUUUCCUUUAGGACCCAAGAAACGAAUUUACUUGUAAAACGCGGCAUCUUUUGCAAAAUGGAAGAGCAUAUAACAAACAGCAUUUUAAACGAUCAAAACGGUGUGGGUUUAGGUAGAUCCUAAGUGGCAGUUCUAUUAAGCUGACAUUUUCCUUUCCUGAACCACUUUUCUCUGGAAAGUACUAGCAUAAUCUUUUCUAUACGACAGUCUCAUUUUAUGACAAAUUACAGAAUAGUAAUUACUCCUUUUUUGAAAAAAUAUAUUCUUCAUUAUAAAUGCAAUUUUAAAAAGUUGGCUCAUUUCUUCUUGAUAUUUAGUAUAUAAUGGGAAUUUAUUUUCAAUUUUAUUACAGAAUCUAAUGGAAAAAAAUUCAAUAUGCAAAUAAUUACC